GCCUGGCUGGCUCAGCCAGUAGGGCAUACGACUCUUGAUCGCAGGGUCAUGGGUUCGAGCCCCAUGUGUGGUG
RNAcentral lists this transfer RNA (73 nucleotides) under Felis catus (domestic cat). It matches the Rfam family "tRNA". Rfam says of the family: Transfer RNA (tRNA) molecules are approximately 80 nucleotides in length. Their secondary structure includes four short double-helical elements and three loops (D, anti-codon, and T loops). Lineage: Eukaryota; Metazoa; Chordata; Mammalia; Carnivora; Felidae. The record is from Rfam by way of RNAcentral. RNAcentral also lists the same sequence under 1 other name.